RNAcentral lists this ribosomal RNA (433 nucleotides) under uncultured bacterium. Its description in RNAcentral is "partial 16S ribosomal RNA". It matches the Rfam family "Bacterial small subunit ribosomal RNA", at positions 29 to 507 of the family's 1533-position model. The record is from RNAcentral.
AACGAACGCUGGCGGCAUGCCUAACACAUGCAAGUCGAACGAGACCUUCGGGUCUAGUGGCGUACGGGUUCGUAACGCGUGGGAACCUGCCCUUAGGUUCGGCAUAACUCCCCGAAAGGGGUGCUAAUACCGGAUAAUGUCUUCGGACCAAAGAUUUAUCGCCUUUGGAUGGGCCCGCGUUGGAUUAGCUAGUUGGUAGGGUAAAAGCCUACCAAGGCGACGAUCCAUAGCUGGUCUGAGAGGAUGAUCAGCCACACUGGGACUGAGACACGGCCCAGACUCCUACGGGAGGCAGCAGUGGGGAAUAUUGGACAAUGGGCGAAGGCCUGAUCCAGCAAGGCCGCGUGAGUGAUGAAGGCCUUAGGGUUGUAAAGCUCUUUUACCCGGGAUGAUAAUGACAGUACCGGGAGAAUAAGCCCCGGCUAACUCCGUG